CCUUGAAAUGGGCUGAGUCCCUCUUGCUCACCCUUGACUUGGAAAAACCAGUUUCUCUUUUAUUGUCUGUUACUAUACUAAUCUCUGUUCUAAAAAUUCAGCUCAAUUCUCAACCAUACUCCAAACUCUGUCCUUUCCGGCUACCUUUACUCCCUCUCCUUCAAUUCCACUUUCCUCUGCUUUCAUUUUUUUUUUUUUUUUUUAAGGGUCUCACUUUGUCACCCAGGCUGGAGUGCAGUGGUGCAAUCUUGGGCUCACUGCUGCGUCAACCUCCCAGGUUCAAGCGAUUCUCCUGCCUCAGCCCCUCAAGUAGCUGGGACUACAGGCGCACACCACCACGCCUGACUAAUUUUUUGUAUUUUUUUGUAGAAGCGCAGUUUCACCAUGUUGCCCAGACUGUUCUUGAAUUCCUGAGCUUAAGCAAUCCACCUGCCUCGGCCUCCCAAAGUGUUGGGAUUACAGGCAUGAGCCACUGCAUCCAGCCUCAUGUUCUUUUUCAUUAAAGAGAGAAAUCAACUAUUCAGGACCGGCCCCCACCUUUCCUCAGGAGCCAUUUCUGUUCUGCACAGGCCUGCUGAACUGGGUGCUUUAUAUGGGACAUUGUCAUCUCUCAAGUACCCAUCUUGGAGGGUAUGGACCCCACAUGAGGAAAGGACCAGCCACACCGAGCUCAGUUAUGGCACACACAGUGGGACCUACACAAAGGGAGGGGGUGACCAGCAUCCCAACUAGAUUUCAGUGGAGUGAAGUUCAGGAGGCAUGGAGCUGACGACGAUGAGGCCUUGGCAGUCA
Molecule: long non-coding RNA, 792 nt
Organism: Piliocolobus tephrosceles (Ugandan red Colobus)
Lineage: Eukaryota; Metazoa; Chordata; Mammalia; Primates; Cercopithecidae
Exons: 4
Source: RefSeq, a predicted model, not a curated record